UGAGGAUUGACAGAUUGAGAGCUCUUUCUUGAUUUUGUGGGUGGUGGUGCAUGGCCGUUCUUAGUUGGUGGAGUGAUUUGUCUGCUUAAUUGCGAUAACGAACGUGACCUUAACCUGCUAAAUAGCCCGUAUUGCUUUGGCAGUACGCUGGCUUUUUAGAGGGACUAUCGCCUCAAGCCGAUGGAAGUUUGAGGCAAUAACAGGUCUGUGCUGCCCUUAGAUGUUCUGGGCCGCACGCGCGCUACACUGACGGAGCCAGCGAGUACUCCCUUGGCCGGAAGGCCCGGGUAAUCUCGUUAAACUCCGUCGUGCUGGGGAUAGAGCAUUGCAAUUAUUGCUCUUCAACGAGGAAUCCCUAGUAAGCGCAAGUCAUCAGCUUGCGUUGAUUACGUCCCUGCCCUUUGUACACACCGCCCGUCGCUACUACCGAUUGAAUGGCUCAGUGAGGCGUCCGGACUGGCCCAGAGAGGUAGGCAACUACCACUCAGGGCCGGAAAGCUCUCCAAACUCGGUCAUUUAGAGGAAGUAAAAGUCGUAACAAGGUCUCCGUUGGUGAACCAGCGGAGGGAUCAUUACCGAGUUAUCAACUCCCAAACCCCUGUGAACAUACCGAACGCUGCUUCGGCGGGACCGCCCCGGCGCCCUCGGCGUCCCGGAACCAGGCGCCCGCCGGAGGACCCAAACUC
RNAcentral lists this ribosomal RNA (686 nucleotides) under uncultured Tolypocladium. Its description in RNAcentral is "bacterial SSU rRNA". The stretch from base 1 to 575 matches the Rfam family "Eukaryotic small subunit ribosomal RNA", at positions 1234 to 1831 of the family's 1831-position model. Lineage: Eukaryota; Fungi; Ascomycota; Sordariomycetes; Hypocreales; Clavicipitaceae. The record is from RNAcentral.